GGCUAUAUCUCCCACGUGUCGAAGCACGACUUAGAGGCAUAACCGCAUUGAAAGGAAUGUCGCAAGUGAGGUAAUCUUCACACAACCCAUGUAAUACAUAAGGGAAAAGGAUACAUAGUUGGCUUACAAUCGCCACUUCACACAAUACAUGAAUAGAGCAUUACAUCAUCCAAAUGCAAUCAAGGUCCGAAUACGGAACCAAAAUAAAAGAAGAACCCCAAAUGCGACAAGGUCCCCGAUCAACCCCAACUGGGCUCCACUACUGAUCAACUAGAACGAAACAACACAAAGGACAAGAUCUUCAUCGAGCUCCUCCUGAGCUUGGUUGCGUCAUCUGCACGGAGUCAUCGGCACCUGCAAGCUGGUUUUGGAAGUACCUGUGAGUCACGGGGACUCAGCAAUCUCACACCCUCGCGAUCAAGACUAUUUAAGCUUAUGGGUAAGGUAAAGGUAUGAUGUGGAGCUGCAACAAGCAACUAGCAUAUAUGGUGGCUAACAUACGCAAAAGAGAGCGUGAAGAGAAGGCAAAGCACGGUCGAGAAACUAUGAUCAAGAAGUGAUCCUAGAACAACCUACGUCAAACAUUACUCCAACAUCGUGUUCACUUCCCGGACUCCGCCGGAAAGAGACCAUCACGGUUACACACGCGGUGGAUGUAUUUUAAUUAAGGUCAACUUCAGGUUUUCUACAACCGGACGUUAAUAAAUUCCCAUCUGCCCAUAACCGCGGGCACGGCUUUCAAAAGUUCAAAUCCCCGCAAGGGUGUCCCAACUUAGCCCAUCACAAGCUCUCACGGUCAACGAAGGACAUUCCUUCUAGCGGGAAGACCCGAUCAAACUCGAAAUCCCGGUUACAAGACAUUUCGACCAUGGUAAAACAAGUCCAGCAACACCGCCCGAAUGUGCCGAUAAAUCCCAAUAGGAGAUGCACAUAUCUCGUUCUCAGGGCACACUCAGAUGAGCACUAUGUACAACUAAAACUAGCCCUCGAGUUUCCCCGAGGUGGCGCUGCAAGUGGCUCUGUUUGGACCAACACUCAGAGCAGCACUGGNNNNNNNNNNNNNNNNNNNNNNNNNNNNNNNNNNNNNNNNNNNNNNNNNNNNNNNNNNNNNNNNNNNNNNNNNNNNNNNNNNNNNNNNNNNNNNNNNNNNNNNNNNNNNNNNNNNNNNNNNNNNNGACCCUUGAGUCUGCAGAACCCAAGGGAAAAAAGGCUAGGUGGCGAAUGGUAAAACCAAUGUUGGGCAUUGCUGGAGGAGUUUUAUUCAAGGCGAACUGUCAAGGGGUUCCCAUUAUAACCCAACCGCGUAAGGAACGCAAAAUCCGGGAACAUAACACCGAUAUGACAGAAACUAGGGCGGCAAGAGUGGAACAAAACACUAGGCAUAAGGCCGAGCCUUCCACCCUUUACCAAGUAUAUAGAUGCAUUAAUUAAAUAAGAGAUAUUGUGAUAUCCCAACAAGUAAACAUGUUCCAACAAGGAACAACAUCUCCAUGUUCCAACAAGGAACAAACUUCAUCUUCACCUGCAACUAAUAACGCUAUAAGAGGGGCUGAGCAAAGCGGUAGCAUAGCCAAACAACGGUUUGCUAGGACAAGGUGGGUUAGAGGCUUGCUUCAACAAUAUGGGAGGCAUGAUAAGCAAGUGGUAGGUAUCGCAGCAUAGGCGUAGCAAAAGAGCGAGCAACUAGCAAGCAAAGAUAGAAGUGAUUUCGAGGAUAUGGUCAUCUUGCCUGAAAUCCCGCAAGGAAGAAGAACGAGUCCAUGAAGAAGACAAACGGACGUAGUCGAACGGAUCCUCACAAUGCAACGUUAUCGGAACCAACCCGAAGAAGCAACACCGGAAAAGAGCAAACAACAUAGUAAACAACCACCACAUAGACAUGGCAUGAUGCGCAAACAAGUAUGAUGCAUGUCCGGUUUAAAGAGGGCAUGGCAUGGCAAAAUGCACAAGCAACCCUACAAAUUAAGUGGAGCUCAAUAUGCAACUCCGUUGCAUAUUGACGAAACACCACGUGACUUAUUUAGUUCAAUCUCGUUUAUGUACCCAACAAGAUUAAAUGUUGAUUAACAUGGCAAGAGGUGAAGCUAAGUAAAACCACCUAUCUAGUCAAGUUUAAAUGAGGCCGGAAGCAACGAACAACAAUUCUGGAAAAACCCCAUAUGCAUAUAUUAGGUUUGUUACGGUUCUGCCCUAUACACAAUUUUAGAGUUGUUAAAGAUGCAAAGUGAGGCCACCAAGUUAAACUAGGCAUUUUUCCACCCCAUUUACAUAUAAAGUUUGUUAGGUUUGGAGCUACGGUUAUUUAGUUAUGAAAUAAAUCAUUUUAGCAAGUUAAUUAAGCAAGUUUAAACAAACAGCAUCUUAAGCAUUUUAAACAUAGAUGAAAGUUGGGUAUUAUUAAACUAGAUGAAAUUCUAAACAAGUUUCAUAUAUAAAGUUUUUCCAUGUGAUGCAUAGUUUGUGAGUUAUUAAAUGUAUGAACAUGAAGGUCUUUUCUGCAAAAGUGCUCUCUCUGGGAUAAAGGCAAAAUCGCAGACCUGAAAAAAAACAGGAACUGGGCCGAAUCUGGCCGGCCCAACAAGAGAAAAAAAAACAAGAGGAGGGGGCACUUGGGGGCUGCUCACCCUGGGCCUGGCCCAACUGGAGGAGGAGGCCGGGCAGCUGGGCCUCGCGCAGCGGUCAACUGGAGAAGGAGGACUCGGCGCUUGUCAUCGUCCUCGCAUGCUCGCAUCUAGAAACAGGGGAAGCAGCGACCGAUGCGGAGGAGGCAGCAGCAGGACGAACUCCGGCGGCGCUCGGAACCAGCAGGAGACGGCGAAGGCAAGGGGAAUCCGACCGGAUCCAAGGCGGAGCGACUGGAUCAGGCAAGGGUGGACUUGGAGCUCCAGGCAUCGGCGUUCUUCGCGGCUUGGUGCAGUUCGGCGCAGAGGAGCGGCGAUGCUGAUAGCCUACUCCAGCGAGAGGACGGCGAGGGAGCCUGGCGGGCGUUGGAAAGCUGCAGAAGGACCGGGCUUGGAGCAGAUCGGGCGCAGGGAUCCAGGACCCGUGAGGGGGACAGGGGCGGCCAACGUUCCUGGGGCUUGGCCGGCUCGUUGAAGACGAGCAGCAGCGGGUCGACGCAGGCGGCGGCUCGCUGCAACGUAGAGACGAGUCGGGGACGGACUUGGUGCGGCGGAGCUCGGGGCCAUGGCGAGCGGAGCACCUCCGAAGGGGAAGAGAGAGGUCAGGGACGGGCGAGAGGAGAUGAAGCACGGGAAGGAGAGGGGCGGCACUGUUCCUGGUGGAUGAGAGAGGAGGCAGGGGCUUCAGGAGAGCGAGGAGGAUCUCCACUCCUCUGGAUCGAAGAGGGGGGAGGAAGCUCUCGAUCGAGGCGGCGGGGUUUUCUGGCAGCUUCGAACCGAAGAGCUCGGGCUCGAGCAGUGGUUGGUGGGAGGAGGAAUGGGGGAAUCCCGAUGUGGAUUCGGUGGAGUGGCGGCGGCGAUGGGACAAACCCCCUAGAUUUUAGGGUUGCUGCCUAGGUCUAUAUAAAGCACUGGAUUUUUUGUUAGGGGCUAUCUGGAGCCUUCGAUCAAAAUCGGACGGUUUAGAAAGAAUAGGUUAGGGAGUCCAAAUAAUAAAACAGUGAUAUUUCGUAGAUGUUUGGGGAUGUUUCGGACACAGCGGUAGCGACAGCCCGAGUCGGGUCCGGGACAGCUUUCGGGCGCGCGCGCGAGGAGGGCCGCGGGCUGACGAGAGAGGUUAGGCUAGGCCUGGCGGUAUGUAGACUGUAUAGACGGUUUCGAGCUGAGAGAAGAGAAGAGAGAGAGCCCCAGCGACUGUUUCCGGAGACCGGAAACGUCCGACGUUAGACCGGCUAUAAUACCGCUAUAGUUUAACGGUUGGGCUAUCAAACGAACUCCGAAUGCGAUGAAACUUGACAGGCGGUCUAUCUACACUAUAAUAAGACCGCACGCCAACUUUCAACCCAUUCCGAGAACAUUUUCUGGCCACUUAUAAAAUAAUAUUUCGGACAUGCCGCGGGCGCGUGCAAGUGUGUCUGGGCUCAGAACGGACAACGGAGAGAACGAGGAGGCCGGGACGGAUGCAAGUUUCGAAAACAUGAUGAUGCAAUGCACAUGAUGACAUGAUAAGAUGCAACACGCAAGCAAAUGACUUGACAACGACAUCGAAUAACUGGAGGACACCUGGCUCAACGGUCUCGGGGCGUCACAACAUUCCACCAUUACGAGAGGAUCUCGUCCCGAGAUCUAGGAUGGCACCGGAGGGAAAACGAAAGAGAAAGAGAAGGGGUAAAACUAAGUUGCUUCUUUGGCCAAUGAGUGAAACCAAAGAACCUUGCAAAGGUUAAGCCAUUUCGAGAAAAGAAUACAACGGAGAUGACGAAGCUGAAAACACUCCGUUAGAAAAGAGGAACAAGGGAGAACAACUUCGGGCAGCACUCUGAUUGACAAGAAAAGGAAUUAAAUAAGAACUUGAUAAGAUGAGAAGAUACUUGAUGAAAUCACAAUACACGGCCUCCGUAACUAUUGAAUGAAUGGAACAAGGGGUGAGAAAGAUCUCAGACAACACUCCGGUUUAAAAGAGAUGAAAACUUGAUAAAAUGAAAGAGCUUAAGCAAAGGGACACAAUACUCCGGUUAAAAGGAUAAGCACGAUCAAAACAUGGUCCUGACAAUCCGAGUAGAUGGGUUGAGGAGAGCAACAUCACAAUGCCUCCAGAAUGGAAGAAUAGAAGAUAGUUAAUUGCCAUAGGAGAAUGGAGAAGAAAAUGCCAACUUCUGCUAAAAAUGAGCUUGGAGAGCACCCUUCGAGGAAGGUUAAAACGGAGUUGUUGGAAAACCAACAACGAAAAAGGGUAAGCUUGAUAUAGUCUUCUGGAAAACAACUCAAAACUAUGAGCUGAAAUUUCUGCCACUAACGGAAAUGAUAGAUUGGAUUGAUAUCAACAAGGAGACGAGAAACUAAUUUCACCGGGAGGAUAAAUGAAGAACUUGGGUCAUUUAUGAGCACCAUAAAUAGCAAUGAUCCUUAGGGAAGGCUUUAGGUGAACAAUUACCCUAGAUAACUCCAAUGACGAGAUUGAUAGAUUUAAAAUACCUCAUUCUUAACAACAUGUGAGUCAUGAAACAUGAACUCAAAUUAUCAAGAAUGACAUAAUACCACCUUCAAAUUAUACGGUAGAAGGAAUUGCACUCUGAAUAACAAGAUGAAGAAUGCUUGAGCUCCUCUGAAAAGAAUGUUGAUGAACCCUUCGAGAAGGAAUUAAGUCUUUGAUGAGCCAUCAAGAAUAAACUCUCAAAGAACUCCGAUAACGAAAGGAUGAUCAAACGAAAGGAAAAGAUAAGUAGAGAACACAAGGUGAAGCCUUGCGAUGAUUGGAUGAAGCUCUGCGACGAGAUAAGUAGAAAACUUGGAACUCCGGAAAAGAAAAGAUGAAUCAAGUGAAACCGAGAAUUUGAAGAACCUCCGGAAUAGGGAAUUAAUCACUUGGAUGAACAAGAAUAAGAAUUAUGUUAUGCUUGUCCUUCACCAAUUAAAUUGAUGAUAUACAAUGGAUUUGGCACACUACUUGGAUUUGGCACACUACUUAUUCUCGUAGAAAGGAUUAAGAUAGAUAUAGCACAAACUUGGGAAGAUCUUCAACGAACCACCGUAAGAAUUGAAACAACGAAUAAAUUGAUAUGAUAAAUGAAGGAAGAAGAAUCUUGAACGAGACACCGUAAGAAUUGAAAAAGAAUGAAUAAAAGAUAACGAAUCACCGGGACGAAUUUGCAAAUGAACGAAGAUGCUCGAGAGAAACUAGAUACAUGAGAACGAAGGGAUCACGACCUGAUUAGAGAUGUGACGCCUCGAGACUGUUGCGCCAGGUGUCGUCCAGUUAUUCGCUAUUGUUGCCUUGUCAUUUGUUUGCGUGUUGCAUCUUAUCAUGUCAUCAUGUGCAUUGCAUCAUCAUGUUUUAAAACUUGCAUUCGUCCGAGUUCUUCGAGUUCUCUCCGUUGUCCGUUCUGAGCCCAACCACACUUGCACGCGCCCGUGGCAUGUCCGAGAUAUUAUUUUAUAAGUGGCCGAAAAAUGUUCUCUGAAUGGGUUGAAAGUUGGCAUGCGGUGUUGUUAUGUUGUAGGUAGGCCGCCUGCCAAGUUUCAUCGCAUUCGGAGUUUGUUUGAUGCCCCAACGGAUAACUAUAGCGACUUUAUAGUCGGUCUAAUGUCGGACGUUUUCGGUCUCCGGAAACAGAUGCCGGGCCCUCUCUCUCUCUUCUCCCCCUCGCAGUCUCGCCACAGCCCACCUAGUCCAUCCUCCUUCCCCUCUUCGCUUCCGGAGUUGUCCGAUGCGACCGCACGGUCCGAAACCCUCUCUGCUCAGUGCAUCAAACCCCCUCGCGCGCGCGUCCAAAAAGUUGUCCCGGACCCGACCCGGACUGUCGCCACCGUUGUGUCCGGAUCAUCCCCAAACAUCUACAAAACGUCAUCAUUUUCUUAUUUGGGCUCCCUAGCCUAUUUUUCCCGACCGUCCAGUUACGAUCGGAGGGACGGAUUAGCCCUACCCAAAAAUCCUUUUGCUAUAUAUAUGUCAGACCAAACCCUAAAACUAGGUCAUUUGCCCCCCUCAGCCGUCGCCAAACUCCACCAAAUCCCCAUCGGGAUCUUCCCCAAUCCAGUUCCUCCUCGUUUUCCUCUCCUGCCAGAUCCAACCAGCGGCCCCGACCAACUCCCUUGAUUUCCGCUGUCGCCCAACCACAGCAAAGCUGCACCUCCUUCCCUACCCUCCUAUCUCUUCAUCGUCUCUUUCGAUCUCUCUCGCUCUCUCUCAAAUUCUCUCUCUCUCUUGCUAGGUACAUGAGCAACAGAAGGUCGCCCCUGCUGCCAUGGCCACCGUUUCCGUCGCUGUCUCAGGACCCGCCAUGGAGGACCCCGUCGCCCGCCAAGUACCUCGCCGGAGUACCCAACCAGGCCAUGACCUCGACGCCCUCCUCCCUCUGUUGUCUCUCCUAACCACUCAAACCCCCUCCCGUUUCUCUCUGUCAGGGGACCGAAGACAUGGCCGCGCCUCUCUUUGAACUCAACUGCCAUGGCCGUCCCGACCCCCUACUGCCUCGAGCGCCCCCGCAGGACCUCGCCGGACCACCAAGCGGCAACCUCCUGAGGUUCCCCGUACCCCAUGCCUUCCAUUUCUUCUCCUUCCUCCUGCAGUUCUUCCUCACAGUCUCUCUCUCUGAACCCUCUCUUGUUUAUUCAGCAGCAGCUCAUGUGGCAGCUACAGUUUGCUCGACCCCCCUGCCUCGAGCGUGUUGACCGCGCCCCUCCUCGUCGCCAUGGAUCCGCGCCAAUCUCCGCCUCCCCGCGCUCCGUUCCGCCCAUUUCGGCCGGUUCUCGCCGACCCCGUCGCCAAGACCCCUGCCGCCGUAUUCUACACCGCCUGAUGUUGCUUCUGUUCUUCAGAAACGAGGACGAACAUGCGCCUCGCCUGCACCCAUUGAUCGCGCCACCCCAUCUCCUCGUUCGGUCCAGCCUGCCAGCGCGCCUCUAGUUCAGGCCAAGGCCCAACACCUCUUCGCCCCAGCCAUAAACAGGCCUCAAGGCCCAAUGUGAGCAGCACCCUGGCCUUCCCCCUGUUGGGCUGCCCAGAUUCGGCCUGUUUCUUUUUUUCCCUGCUGACGAAUUUCCUAAUUUCCAAUGCAUGCAUAAGUACAUGAGGAUGCCAUUAUUUUGUUAAUAACCGUGCAUCGGAUUAAAACAAAGUUAAUAUGAAACUUGCUUAGAUUUUCAUCUAGUUUAAUAAUAUGCAACUUUCAUCUAUGUUUAAAAUGUUUAAAAUGUUGUUUGUUUAAAUUUGCUCCUAUGCCAUGCUAAAAUGGUUUAUUUGAUAACUAAAUAACCGUAACUCAGAAUUUAAUAAACUUUAUAUGUAAAUGGGGUAGAAAAUGCCUAGUUUAACAUGGUGGCUUUACUUUGCAUAUUUAAUAACUCUAAAAUUAUGUUUAGGGCAGAUCAGUACCAAACCUUAAAAUAUGCACAUGAGGAGUUUCCGGACUUGUUGUUUGUUGUUCCGGCCUCAUUUAAACUUGCCUAGAUAGGUAGUUUUGUUUUGCUUCACCUCUUGCCAUGCUAACAACAUUUAAUAUUGUUGGGUACAUAAAAGAGAUCGAACUAAAUAACUUGAAUGUGGUGUUUCGUCAAUAUGCAACGGAGUUGCAUAUUGAGCUCCACUUAAUUUGUAGGGUUGUUUGCGCACUUUGCCAUGCCAUGCUUCUUUAAACCGGACAUGCAUCAUACUCGGUUGUGCAUCUUGCCAUGCUUAUGUGGUGGUUGUUUACUAUGUUGUUUGCUUUCUUUCCGGUGUUGCUUCUUCGGGUUGGUUCCGAUAACGUCGCGUUUGUGAGGAUUCGUUCGUCUACGUCCGUUUGUCUUCUUCAUGGACUCGUUCUUCUUCCUUGCGGGAUUUCAGGCAAGAUGACCAUACCCUCGAAAUCACUUCUAUCUUUGCUUGCUAGUUGCUCGCUCUUUUGCUAUGCCUAUGCUGCGAUACCUACCACUUGCUUAUCAUGCCUCCUAUAUUGUUGAACCAAGCCUCUAACCCACCUUGUCCUAGCAAACCGUUGAUUGGCUAUGUUACCGCUUUGCUCAGCCCCUCUUAUAGCGUUGUUAGUUGCAGGUGAAGAUUGAAGUUUGUUCCUUGUUGGAACCUGGAGAUGUUGUUCCUUGUUGGAACAUGUUUACUUGUUGGGAUAUCACAAUAUCUCUUAUUUAAUUAAUGCAUAUUUAUACUUGGUAAAGGGUGGAAGGCUCGGCCUUAUGCCUGGUGUUUUGUUCCACUCUUGCCGCCCUAGUUUCCGUCAUAUCGGUGUUAUGUUCCCGGAUUUUGCGUUCCUUAUGCGGUUGGGUUAUAAUGGGAACCCCUUGACGGUUCGCCUUGAAUAAAACUCUUCUAGCAAUGCCCAACAUGGGUUUUACCAUUCGCCACCUAGCCUUUUCUUUUCCUUGGGUUCUGCAGACUCAAGGGUCAUCUUUAUUUUAACCCCCCCCCCCGGCCAGUGCUCCUCUGAGUGUUGGUCCAAACAGAGCCACUUGCAGCGCCACCUCAGGGAAACUCGAGGGCUGGUUUUAGUUAUACGUAGUGCUCAUCUGAGUGUGCCCUGAGAACGAGAUAUGUGCAGCUCCUAUCGGGAUUUGUCGGCACAUUCGGGCGGUGUUGCUGGUCUUGUUUUACCAUUGUCAAAAUGUCUUGUAACCGGGAUUCCGAGUCUGAUCAGGUCUUCCCGCUAGAAGGAAUAUCCUUUGUUGACCGUGAAAGCUUGUGAUGGGCUAAGUUGGGACACCCCUGCAGGGAUUUGAACUUUCGAAAGCCAUGCCCGCGGUUAUGGGCAGAUGAGAAUUUGUUAAUGUCCGGUUGUAGAAAACCUGAAGUUGACCUUAAUUAAAAUACAUCAACCGCGUGUGUAACCGUGAUGGUCUCUUUCUGGCGGAGUCCGGGAAGUGAACACGGUGUUGGAGUUAUGCUUGACGUAGGUUGUUCUAGGAUCACUUCUUGAUCAUAGUUGUUCGAUCGUGCUUUUGCCUUCUCUUCUCGCUCUCAUUUGCGUAUAUGUUAGCCACCAAAUAUGCUAGUCGCUUGCUGCAGCUCCACCUCAUACCUUUUACCUUACCCAUAAGCUUAAAUAGUCUUGAUCGCGAGGGUGUGAGAUUGCUGAGUCCCCGUGACUCACAAAUACUUCCAAAACCAUCUUGCAGGUGCCGAUGAUACCUUGCAGAUGACAGAACCGAGCUCAAGGAGGAGCUCGAUGGAGAUUCGUGUUCGUUUUGUUGUUCCGUUUCCAGUUGAUCAGUAGCGGAGCCCAGUUGGGGUCGAUCGGGGAUCUGUGUAGCAUUUGGGUAGUCUUCUUUUAUUUUGGGUUCCGUAGUCGGACCUUGAUUGUAUCUGGUUGAUGUAAUGCUUUAUUCAUAUAAUUGUGUGAAGUGGCGAUUGUAAUUCAACUAUGUAUCUUUUUCCCUUAUGUAUUACAUGGGUUGUGUGAAGAUUACCUCACUUGCGACAUUGCUUUCAAUGCGGUUAUGCCUCUAAGUCGUGCUUCGACCCAUAGGAGAUAUAGCCGCAUCGAGGGUGUGACAAGUUGGUAAUCAGAGCCUUCCCCGACCUAAGGAGCCCCCUGCUUGAUCGAAUCGAUGGCGUUAUUGAGUCUAGAAAAAUGUUUUGAGUCAUUUAGGAUUAUAUAUAUCGGAGAGUUAGGAAUUCUUUUUACUCCUCAGUCCCUUCGUCGCUCUGGUGAGGCAUCCUGACGUAGAGUUUUGACUCUUCUCUUCUCAAAUUUCACUAAAUUUUUUUAGGAUCACACGGGUAUAUUGGAAUUGUUCCGAUGGUUUUGUGACGAGAACAUUGUUCUUGGUGCCUCCUACCAUUUAAGGGUUGUGACAGUGUCCCGGGGAGUUGAGCUCCGAGGUGUUGUCGUCACAAUCUUAUCGUUGCAGUUUUGGAAUACCUGAGUUUAGUUUCGCCGACAUCGAAAAUAUCUUUUAUGCAGUUGUUGGUGAGAUAACCUCGACGCCACCCUGUACUGGGGUGGGAGUUCGGGAGUAUUGCCAUAACUCGUAUAACGGAUGCUUUUCGAAGGUUGAGGUAAAUGAUUUCCGAAGGUUUCUUGGUUAUGUGUUGAAGGAUGGAUACAGCUGGAUGUAGGAUUUGUUAGUUUUGGGUGAGAUAUUAUGCUUCCCCUGCAUCCCCAACACCUGAUUGCAUAACUGGGAAAAUUUCGGGAGUUUAUAAGUGGGAAUUCAAGUAGCUCUUAGGAUAUCUUUCCGACAGAUGUAUGAUAUGAAAUUGGGGUUCAACGUCUAGUGGUCCGCCUAUCCACGGUUGGUUUUACAGUGGUCUCAUUGUGUCUUAAAGAGUCCUUGGCUAUGCCGACUCGGGGACGCUUUGUAUGUCAUGUGCACUGCCUUGUACAUGAUGGUGCUGUACGAUCGAGCCCAUGUAGGCCCCACCAUGAAAACUUUGGACGAAAUCUCUAUCAUAUGUUUGUUCCGGCUUAUUUUGCAAGCCAAUCCUUUGUUUUGUUUUGAGUUGUGGUAUCUGAGUUGCUUCGAAGUCAAAUGUUGAUUCCAUACCUGUACCUAAGCGGUGUUCUCAUACUCCAAUGUAAAUACCAAUCCUUCUUGAUUAUCGAGAUUGUCAUGUCAAUCCUUUUCAACCGGCGUAUUUCUCUCCAAGUGGAUCCGAUCAACAUCUGCAAGAUCAACUCAAGUUUUCUCAAUGUUGUUUGUUUCAUCCAUCUCCAAGUUGUCUUUGUUUUUCCCGCCCUCCCUCCCUUGUUUUUUUUUCUCCGAAGACUCAUAUAUCUCAAUCAAGUAUCCUUUUAUUCUUGUGAAGUCUCUCCAUUCUUUUCCGUCAAUAUUCUUACCCGGUGGUUCUCGUGAAGAUGCUCUACAAGUUCAUCAUUAUUCGUUCUUUUCUUCUCCGGUGGAUUCAAUUCAAGCUUUCAGUGCUGAUCAUAUCUUUUUCCUCGUUUCAAAUACCCUCUCAUGCCGGUUCUCCUCAUAUUCAUAGACUUCUCGCUAUUCUAUUAUUCUGGAGUGCUGAAGAUAUCUCCAAGAUUCGUGUUUCCACUCUACUUUCAUUCAAACUCUUACGAGGAUGUUAUCUCUUUCAAGUCAUUUAAUUCAACCGGUGCAAUCCUCUCUUUUAAAUCAUUUCAAUGGUGUUUCUUUUGAGUGGGCCCAUAACCCACAUGUCUUUUCCUAGGAUCUUACCUGACUCUUCUUAUUCUCCCGGAGUUAGUCUCAAAUUCAUUUCAAAGUUUGACGUAAGAAUGAAUUGUCAUCAGUCAAAUGCCUUUCUCCAAGAUCUUUCAUUUCUUUUCAUCUUUGGCUCAACCUCUCCUCUUUUAAUCAUUCCGGAGUGUCUCAACGAUUCAUGGUGGUGUUUCUCGUCGUCAUUCUCAGAUUUUGAAGACCGAAAAAGAGUUUCUCUUAAAUCUUGAUCCAUUCUCUUCAACAUCCGUGAUUCUAGCUUGUUGCCAUCCUCUCAUAAUUAUUUGCGAUUGUGGGAAUUCUUUUCACCUAUCUGGAGCAAUUCAAGAGUCUUCUCAGUUUGAUUAUCCGGAGUCCAUCAUUUUAGGUUUUUUUUCAUUCUCAGCUUUCAGCUCUCUUUCUCUAAAUUUUACCGGUGCAUCGAUCAAAUAUCCUCUAAUCAGUGCAUGAUCUCUUCGUUCUCUCAUAUAUAAUUUAUCUCAAGCAUCUUCAUUCAUUGGCUAAUUUUUCCCAGUGUUUCUUUAUCUUCUCUUCAUUCAUUUUCAAUUCUUACUGUGGUUCGUUCAAUAGUUCUCGUCAUUCGUUAUCAUAUCAAUUUAUUCGUUGUUUCUAUCCUACCGGUGGUUCGUUGAAGAUUUUCUCGAGUUUAUGCGAUAUCUCUCUUAAUCCUUUCUACGAGAAUAAGUAAUAUGCCAAAUCCGUUGCUUGCCAUCAAUUAAAUUGGUGAAGGUUAAGCAUAAUGUAAUUCUUAUUCUUGUUCCAUCCAUAUGUUAAUCUUUUCUUCCGGAGUUUGCUCAUGACGAAUAGAUUCUUGAUCUCUUUGGUUAAUCUUUCUUUUACGGAUCUCCAAGUUAUUUCAAUUAUAUCAUUUCAAAGCUCCAUCUAAUCAUUGCAAGGUUUAAAUCUUGUUCUUUUCAUCCUUCACUUCCUUUUGAUCAUCCUUUUAUUACCGGAGUUCUCACGAAGGUUCUACAUGAUGGUUCAUCAAGGAUUUAAUUCCUUCUCGAAGUGUUCAUCAAGAUUCUUUUCAGAGGAGCUCAAGCAUUCUUCUUCUUGCUAUCCGGAGUGCAAUUCUUUCUUCCGUAUCAUUGGAGGUGGUAUUAUGUCAUUCUUGAUAAUUGGAGUUCAUGUUUCAUGAUUCACAGGUUGUUAAGAAUGGAGUAUUUUAAAUCCAUCAAUCUCGUCAUUUGAGUUAUCUUGGGUAAUAUUUCACCUAAAGCCUUCCCUAACUAUUGUUGCUAUUAUGGUGCUUAUAAAUGACUCAAGUUCUUUUAUCCGCCUGGUGAAAUAAGUUCUCGUCUCCUUGUUGAUAUCAAUCCAAUCUAUCGUUUCCGUCAGUGGCAGAAUUUCAACUCAGCUUUGAGAGGUUUUCCAUAAGCCCACAACAAGCUCACUCUUUUCGUUGUUGGGUUUUCCAACAACUCUGUUCGACCAUUCUCCUAAGGAUGCCUUUUCAAGCUCUUUUGUGGCAUAAGAUGGCAUUUUCGUCUCCAUUCUUUUAUUUCAAUUAUCUAUCUUCUAUUCUUUUGUUACGGAGCCUUUGUGAUGUUUCUCUUUUCUCUCAUCAUCUUGGAUCGUGUUCUUUUCGUGUUUAUCCAUUUAACCAUAGUGUUGUGUCCUUUUGCUCAAGCUCUUUCAUUUUAUCAACUAUUUUAUCUCUCUUCAAUCGGAGUGCUGCCCGAAGUUGUUCUUCCUUGUCCCUCUUUUCUAACGGAGUGCUUUCAACUUCGUUCUUUUCCGUUGUAUUCUUUCUUUCAUGAAUUUGUUCAACCUCUCAAGGUGCGUGGUUUCACUCGUUUGUCCAAGAAGCUACUUAGUUUUACCGCUGCUCUUCCUCUUCCUUUUCCCUCCAGUGUCAUCCUAGAUCUCGGGACGAGAUCCUCUCGUAGUGGUGGAGUGUUGUGACGCCCCGAGACUGUUGCGCCAGGUGUCGUCCAGUUAUUCGCUAUUGUUGCCUUGUCAUUUGUUUGCGUGUUGCAUCUUAUCAUGUCAUCAUGUGCAUUGCAUCAUCAUGUUUUAAAACUUGCAUUCGUCCGGGUUCUUCGAGUUCUCUCUGUUGUCCGUUCUGAGCCCAACCACACUUGCACGCGCCUGCGGCAUGUCCGAGAUAUUAUUUUAUAAGUGCCCGAAAAAUGUUCUCUGAAUCGGUUGAAAGUUGGCAUGUAGUGUUGUCAUGUUGUAGGUAGGCCGCCUGCCAAGUUUCAUCGCAUUCGGAGUUUGUUUGAUGCCCCAACGGAUAACUCUAGCGACUUUAUAGUCGGUCUAACGUCGGACGUUUUUGGUCUCCGGAAACAGAUGUCGGGCCCUCUCUCUCUUCUCCCCCUCGCAGUCUCGCCACAACCCACCUAGUCCAUCCUCCUUCCCCUCUUCGCUUCUGGAGUUGUCCGAUGCGACCGCACGGUCCGAAACCCUCUUUGCUCAGUGCAUCAAAGCCCCUCGCGCGCGCGUCCGAAAAGUUGUCCCGGCCUCAUUUAAACUUGCCUAGAUAGGUAGUUUUGUUUUGCUUCACCUCUUGCCAUGCUAACAACAUUUAAUAUUGUUGGGUACAUAAACGAGAUCGAACUAAAUAACUUGAAUGUGGUGUUUCGUCAAUAUGCAACGGAGUUGCAUAUUGAGCUCCACUUAAUUUGUAGGGUUGUUUGCGCACUUUGCCAUGCCAUGCUUCUUUAAACAGGACAUGCAUCAUACUCGGUUGUGCAUCUUGCCAUGCUUAUGUGGUGGUUGUUUACUAUGUUGUUUGCUUUCUUUCCGGUGUUGCUUCUUCGGGUUGGUUCCGAUAACGUCGCGUUUGUGAGGAUUCGUUCGUCUACGUCCGUUUGUCUUUUUCAUGGACUCGUUCUUCUUCCUUGCGGGAUUUCAGGCAAGAUGACCAUACCCUCGAAAUCGCUUCUAUCUUUGCUUGCUAGUUGCUCGCUCUUUUGCUAUGCCUAUGCUGCGAUACCUACCACUUGCUUAUCAUGCCUCCUAUAUUGUUGAACCAAGCCUCUAACCCACCUUGUCCUAGCAAACCGUUGAUUGGCUAUGUUACCGCUUUGCUCAGCCCCUCUUAUAGCGUUGUUAGUUGCAGGUGAAGAUUGAAGUUUGUUCCUUGUUGGAACCUGGAGAUGUUGUUCCUUGUUGGAACAUGUUUACUUGUUGGGAUAUCACAAUAUCUCUUAUUUAAUUAAUGCAUAUAUAUACUUGGUAAAGGAUGGAAGGCUCGGCCUUAUGCCUGGUUUUUUGUUCCACUCUUGCCGCCCUAGUUUUGCGUCAUAUCGGUGUUAUGUUCCCGGAUUUUGCGUUCCUUACGCGGUUGGCUUAUAAUGGGAACCCCUUGGCAGUUCGCCUUGAAUAAAACUCCUCCAGCAAUGCCCAACAUUGGUUUUACCAUUCGCCACCUAGCCUUUUCUUUCCCUUGGGAUCUACAGACUCAAGGGUCAUCUUUAUUUAAACCCCCCUGGGCCAGUGCUCCUCUGAGUGUUGGUCCAAAUAGAGCCACUUGCAGCGCCACCUCGGGGAAACUCGAGGGCUAGUUUUAGUUGUACGUAGUGCUCAUCUGAGUGUGCCCUGAGAACGAGAUAUGUGCAGAUCCUAUCGGGAUUUGUCGGCACAUUCGAGCGAUGUUGCUGGUCUUGUUUUACCAUUGUCGAAAUGUCUUGUAACCGGGAUUCCGAGUCUGAUCGGGUCUUCCCGCUAGAAGGAAUAUCCUUCGUUAACCGUGAGAGCUUGUGAUGGGCUAAGUUGGGACACCCCUGCAGGGAUUUGAACUUUCGAAAGCCGUGCCCGCGGUUAUGGGUAGAUGGGAAUUUGUUAAUGUCCGGUUGUAGAAAACCUGAAGUUGACUUUAAUUAAAAUACAUCAACCGCGUGUGUAAUCGUGAUGGUCUCUUUCCGGCGGAGUCCAGGAAGUGAACACGGUGUUGGAGUUAUGCUUGACGUAGGUUGUUCUAGGAUCACUUCUUGAUCAUAGUUGUUCGACCGUGCUUUUGCCUUCUCUACUCGCUCUCAUUUGCGUAUAUGUUAGCCACCAAAUAUGCUAGUCGUUUGCUGCAGCUCCACCUCAUACCUUUUACCUUACCCAUAAGCUUAAAUAGUCUUGAUCGCGAGGGUGUGAGAUUGCUGAGUCCCCGUGACUCACAGAUACUUCCAAAACCAGCUUGCAGGUGCCGAUGAAACCAUGCAGAUGACAAAACCGAGCUCAAGGAGGAGCUCGAUGGAGAUCGUGUGCAUUAUGUUGUUCCGUUUCCACUUGAUCAGUAGCGGAGCCCAGUUGGCGUCGAUCGGGGAUCUGUGUAGCAUUUGGGGUAGUCUUCUUUUAUUUUGGGUUCCGUAGUCGGACCUUGAUUGUAUCUGGUUGAUGUCAUGCUUUAUUCAUAUAAUUGUGUGAAGUGGCGAUUGUAAGCCAAUUAUGUAUCUUUUUCCCUUAUGUAUUACAUGGGUUGUGUGAAGAUUACCUCACUUGUGACAUUGCUUUCAAUGCGGUUAUGCCUCUAAGUCGUGCUUCGACCCGUAGGAGAUAUAGCCGCAUCGAGGGCGUUACAAGAGAUCACUUGAACGGAGCACCGAUUAGAUUUGGAGAACCAUAGCUGAAAGCUGAGAAUGAAUAAAUUCUGAGAUGAUGGGUUCCGAAGAAACAAACUGAAAAGAAUCUUGAAUUGCUCCGGAUAGGUGAAAAAAUUCUCACAAUUCAAAAACAACUAUGAGAGGAUGGCAACAAGCUAGAAUCACGAAUCUUGAAGAGAAUGGAGCAAGAUUUAAGAGAAACUCUUCUUCGGUCUUCAAAAUCUGAGAAUGACGACGAGAAACACCAGCAUGAAUAGUUGAGACACUCCAAAAUGAUUAAAAGAGGAGAGGUUGAGCCAAAGAUGAAAAGAAUUUGAAAGAUCUUGGAGAAAAACAUAUGACAGAUGAUGAAUCAUUCUUACGUCAAACUUUAAAAGAAUUUGAGGAUAGCUCCGGGAAAAUAAGAAGAGUCAGGUAAGAUCUUAGGAAAAGACCUGUGGGUUAGGGCCCACUCAAAAGAUACACCGUUGAACGAUUACUUGAAAAGAGAGAUUGCACCAGUUGAAUUAAAAGGCUUAAAUGAUAUAACAUCCUCAAAAGAGUUUGAACGAAAGCAGAGUGGUAACAUGAAUCUUCGAAAUAUCUUGAGCACUCCGGAACAAUUGAAUAGCGAGAAGUGAAUGAUUAAGAAUUGCACCGGCAUGAGAAAGCAUUGAAAUGAGGAAAGGGUAUGAUCAACAAAGCUUGACUUGAAACCACCAGAGAAGAAAAGAAUGAAGAAUUACGAACGAGUAGAGCAUCUUCAUGAGAAACACCGGGUAAAAACAUGAAGGAAAAAGAAUGGAGAGACUUCCAUCAAUAAAAUGGAUAGUGAUUAAGAAAUCUGAAUCCUUGAAGAAAAAGGGUGGGUGGGUGGGAAAACAAAGACAACUUGGAACAAAUGAAGCAAACACCGUUGAGAAAGCUGAGAUUGAAUCUUGCGGAUGUUGAAAAUGGACGGAUCCGCUUGAACAGAAGCACACCGGUGAAAAGGAUUGGCAAGACAAUCUCGAUGAUCAAGAAGGAUUACUAUUCACAUAGGAAUAUGAGAACACCACUUAGACAAGGGAUGGAAUCAACAUUUGCCUUCGAAGCAACUCGAAUACCACAACUCAAAACAAAACAAAGGAUUGGCUUGCAGAAUAAGCCGAAACAAACAUAUGAUAGAGAUUUCGUCCAAAGUUUUCGUGGUGGGGCCUACACGGGCUCGAUCAUACAAUACCAUCAUGUACAAGGCAGUGCACAUGACAUAUGAAGCGUCCCCGAGUCGGCAUAGCCAAGGACUCUUUAAGACACAACGAGACCACUGUAAAACCAACCGUGGAUAGGCGGACCACUAGACGUCGAACCCCAAUUUCAUAUCAUACAUCUAUUAGAAAGAUAUCCUAAGAGCUACUUGAAUUCCCACUUAUAAACUCCCGAAAUUUUCCGGUUAUGCAAUCAGGUGUUGGGGAUACAGGGGAAGCAUAAUAUCUCACCCAAAACUAGCAAAUCCUACAUCCAGCUGUAUCCAUCCUUCAACACAUAACAAAGAAACCUUAGGAAAUCGUCUACCUCAACUUUCGAAAAGCAUCCAUUAUACGAGUUAUGGCAAUACUCCCGAACUCCCGCCCCAGUACUGGGUGGCAUCGAGGUUAUCUCACCAACAACUGCAUAAAAGAGUUUUCGAUGUCGGCGAACCUAAACUCAGGUAUUCUAGAACUGCAACGAUAAAAUUGUGACGAUAACACCUCGGAGCUCAACUCCCCGGGACACUACCACAACCCCUAAAUGACAGGAGGCACCAAGAACAAUGUUCUCGUCACAAAUCGAUCAGAACGAUUCCAAGAUACCCGCGUGAUCCUAAAUUUUUUUUAGUGAAAUUUGAGAAGAGAAGAGUCAAAACUCUACGUCAGGAUGCCUUACCAGAGCGAUGAAGGGACUGAGGAGUAAAAAGAAUUCCUAACUCUCCGACCUAUAAUUCCUAAAUGACUCAAAACAUUUUUCUAGACUCAACAACGCCAACGAUUCGAUCAAGCAGGGGGCUCCUAAGUCGGGGAAGGCUCUGAUACCAACUUGUAACGCCCUCGAUGCGGCUAUAUCUCCCACGUGUCGAAGCACGACUUAGAGGCAUAACCGCAUUGAAUGGAAUGUCGCAAGUGAGGUAAUCUUCACACAACCCAUGUAAUACAUAAGGGAAAAGGAUACAUAGUUGGCUUACAAUCGCCACUUCACACAAUACAUGAAUAGAGCAUUACAUCAUCCAAAUGCAAUAAAGGUCCGACUACGGAACCAAAAUAAAAGAAGAACCCCAAAUGCGACAAGGUCCCCGAUCAACCCCAACUGGGCUCCACUAUUGAUCAACUAGAACGAAACAACACAAAGGACAAGAUCUUCAUCGAGCUCCUCCUGAGCUUGGUUGCGUCAUCUGCACGGAGUCAUCGGCACCUGCAAGCUGGUUUUGGAAGUACCUGUGAGUCACGGGGACUCAGCAAUCUCACACCCUCGCGAUCAAGACUAUUUAAGCUUAUGGGUAAGGUAAAGGUAUGAUGUGGAGCUGCAACAAGCGACUAGCAUAUAUGGUGGCUAACAUACGCAAAAGAGAGCGUGAAGAGAAGGCAAAGCACGGUCGAGAAACUAUGAUCAAGAAGUGAUCCUAGAACAACCUACGUCAAACAUUACUCCAACAUCGUGUUCACUUCCCGGACUCCGUCGAAAAGAGACCAUCACGGUUACACACGCGGUUGAUGUAUUUUAAUUAAGGUCAACUUCAGGUUUUCUACAACCGGACGUUAAUAAAUUCCCAUCUGCCCAUAACCGCGGGCACGGCUUUCGAAAGUUCAAAUCCCCGCAGGGGUGUCCCAACUUAGCUCAUCACAAGCUCUCACGGUCAACGAAGGACAUUCCUUCUAGCGGGAAGACCCGAUCAAACUCGAAAUCCCGGUUACAAGACAUUUCGACCAUGGUAAAACAAGUCCAGCAACACCGCCCGAAUGUGCCGAUAAAUCCCAAUAGGAGAUGCACAUAUCUCGUUCUCAGGGCACACUCAGAUGAGCACUAUGUACAACUAAAACUAGCCCUCGAGUUUCCCCGAGGUGGCGCUGCAAGUGGCUCUGUUUGGACCAACACUCAGAGCAGCACUGGNNNNNNNNNNNNNNNNNNNNNNNNNNNNNNNNNNNNNNNNNNNNNNNNNNNNNNNNNNNNNNNNNNNNNNNNNNNNNNNNNNNNNNNNNNNNNNNNNNNNNNNNNNNNNNNNNNNNNNNNNNNNNNNNNNNNNNNNNNNNNNNNNNNNNNNNNNNNNNNNNNNNNNNNNNNNNNNNNNNNNNNNNNNNNNNNNNNNNNNNNNNNNNNNNNNNNNNNNNNNNNNNNNNNNNNGACCCUUGAGUCUGCAGAACCCAAGGGAAAAAAGGCUAGGUGGCGAAUGGUAAAACCAAUGUUGGGCAUUGCUGGAGGAGUUUUAUUCAAGGCGAACUGUCAAGGGGUUCCCAUUAUAACCCAACCGCGUAAGGAACGCAAAAUCCGGGAACAUAACACCGAUAUGACAGAAACUAGGGCGGCAAGAGUGGAACAAAACACUAGGCAUAAGGCCGAGCCUUCCACCCUUUACCAAGUAUAUAGAUGCAUUAAUUAAAUAAGAGAUAUUGUGAUAUCCCAACAAGUAAACAUGUUCCAACAAGGAACAACAUCUCCAUGUUCCAACAAGGAACAAACUUCAUCUUCACCUGCAACUAAUAACACUAUAAGAAGGGCUGAGCAAAGCGGUAACAUAGCCAAACAACGGUUUGCUAGGACAAGGUGGGUUAGAGGCUUGGUUCAACAAUAUGGGAGGCAUGAUAAGCAAGUGGUAGGUAUCGCAGCAUAGGCAUAGCAAAAGAGCGAGCAACUAGCAAGCAAAGAUAGAAGUGAUUUCGAGGGUAUGGUCAUCUUGCCUGAAAUCCCGCAAGGAAGAAGAACGAGUCCAUGAAGAAGACAAACGGACGUAGUCGAACGGAUCCUCACAAUGCAACGUUAUCGGAACCAACCCGAAGAAGCAACACCGGAAAAGAGCAAACAACAUAGUAAACAACCACCACAUAGACAUAGCAUGAUCUGCAAAAAAGUAUGAUGCAUGUCCGGUUUAAAGAGGGCAUGGCAUGGCAAAAUGCACAAGCAAUCCUACAAAUUAAGUGGAGCUCAAUAUGCAACUCCAUUGCAUAUUGACGAAACACCACGUGACUUAUUUAGUCCGAUCUCGUUUAUGUACCCAACAAGAUUAAAUGUUGAUUAACAUGGCAAGAGGUGAAGCUAAGUAAAACUACCUAUCUAGUCAAGUUUAAAUGAGGCCGGAAGCAACGAACAACAAUUCCGGAAAAAUCCCAUAUGCAUAUAUUAGGUGUGUUACGGUUCUGCCCUAAACACAAUUUUAGAGUUGUUAAACAUGCAAAUUGAGGCCACCAAGUUAAACUAGGCAUUUUUCCACCCCAUUUACAUAUAAAGUUUGUUAGGUUUGGAGCUACGGUUAUUUAGUUAUGAAAUAAAUCAUUUUAGCAAGUUAAUUAAGCAAGUUUAAACAAACAACAUCUAAAGCAUUUUAAACAUAGAUGAAAGUUGGAUAUUAGUAAACUAGAUGAAUUUCUAAGCAAGUUUCAUAUAUAAAGUUUUUCCAUGUGAUGCAUAGUUUGAGAGUUAUUAAAUGUAUGAACAUGAGGGUUUUUUCUGCAAAAGUGCUCUCUCUCUGGGAUAAAGGCAAAAUCGCAGACCUGAAAAAAAGAGGAACUGGGCCGAAUCUGGCCGGCCCAACAAGAGAAAAAAAACAAGAGGAGGGGGCACUUGGGGGCUGCUCACCCUGGGAUUGGCCCAACUGGAGGAGGAGGCCGGGCAGCUGGGCCUCGCGCAGCUGUCAACGAGAGAAGGAGGACUCGGCGCUUGUCGUCGUCCUCGCAUGCUCGCAUCUAGAAACAGGGAAGCAGCGACCGAUGCGGAGGAGACAGCAGCAGGACGAACUCCGGCGGCGCUCGGAACCAGCAGGAGACGGCGAAGGCAAGGGGAAUCCGAUCGGAUCCAAGGCGGAGCGACUGGAUCAGGCAAGGGUCGACUUGGAGCUCCAGGCGUCGGUGUUCUUCGCGGCUUGGUGCAGUUCGGCGCAGAGGAGCGGCGGUGCUGAUAGCCUACUCCGGCGAGAGGACGGCGAGGGAGCCUGGCGGGCGUUGGAAAGCAGCAGAAGGGCCGGCCUUGGAGCAGAUUGGGCGCAGGGAUCCAGGACCCGUGAGGGGGAGAGGGGCGGCCAACAUUCCUGGGGCUUGGCCGGCUCGUUGAAGACGAGCAGCAGCGGGUCAACGCAGGCGGGGGCUCGCUGCAACGCAGAGACGAGUCGGGGACGGACUUGGUGCCGCGGAGCUCGGGGCCAUGGCGAGCGGAGCACCUGCGAAGGGGAAGAGAGAGGUCAGGGACGGGUGAGAGGAGAUGAAGCACGGGAAGGAGAGGGGCGGCACUGUUCCUGGUGGAUGAGAGAGGAGGCAGGGGCUUCAGGAGAGCGAGGAGGAUCUCCACUCCUCUGGAUCGAAGAGGGGGGAGGAAGCUCUCGAUCGAGGCUGCGGGGUUUUCUGGCGGCUUCAAACCGAAGAGCUCGGGCUCGAGUAGUGGUUGGUGGGAGGAGGAAUGGGGGAAUCCCGAUGUGGAUUCGGUGGAGUGGCAGCGGCGAUGGG
This 21924-nucleotide long non-coding RNA is filed under the name Triticum aestivum (bread wheat). RNAcentral describes it as "long non-coding RNA (TAES_LNC005176)". The record is from RNAcentral. Lineage: Eukaryota; Viridiplantae; Streptophyta; Magnoliopsida; Poales; Poaceae.